This 402-nucleotide ribosomal RNA is filed under the name bacterium. RNAcentral describes it as "partial 16S ribosomal RNA". It matches the Rfam family "Bacterial small subunit ribosomal RNA", at positions 355 to 776 of the family's 1533-position model. The record is from RNAcentral.
UGGGGAAUUUUGCACAAUGGGGGAAACCCUGAUGCAGCGACGCCGCGUGAUUUAGAAGGCCUUCGGGUUGUAAAAAUCUUUUCUAUGGGAAGAAAAUGACAGUACCAUAGGAAUAAGGACCGGCUAAUUACGUGCCAGCAGCCGCGGUAAUACGUAAGGUCCGAGCGUUGUCCGGAAUCAUUGGGCGUAAAGGGUACGUAGGCGGGUAAGCAAGUUAGAAGUGAAAUCCUAUAGCUCAACUAUAGUAAGCUUUUAAAACUGCUCAUCUUGAGGUAUGGAAGGGAAAGUGGAAUUCCUAGUGUAGCGGUGAAAUGCGCAGAUACUAGGAGGAAUACCGGUGGCGAAGGCGACUUUCUGGCCAUAACCUGACGCUGAGGUACGAAAGCGUGGGUAGCAAACAGG